CUCAAAGAUACACUUUAGAUAUCUACUGGACUAGUUGCUGGUGAAUUACAUUGACAGAGGAUGCUCAAAGAUACACUUUAGAUAUCUACUGGACUAGUUGCUGGUGAAUUACAUUGACAGAGGAUACUCAAAGAUACACUGCAGAUAUCUACUGGACUAGUUGCUGGUGAAUGACAUUGACAGAGGAUGCUCAAAGAUACACUGUAGAUAUCUACUGGACUAGUUGCUGGUGAAUUACAUUGACAGAGGAUGCUCAAAGAUACACUGUAGAUAUCUACUGGACUAGUCGCUGGUGAAUGACAUUGACAGAGGAUGCUCAAAGAUACACUGUAGAUAUCAACUGGACUAGUUGCUGGUGAAUUACAUUGA
Molecule: long non-coding RNA, 369 nt
Organism: Haliotis rubra (blacklip abalone)
Lineage: Eukaryota; Metazoa; Mollusca; Gastropoda; Lepetellida; Haliotidae
Exons: 3
Source: RefSeq, a predicted model, not a curated record